This 1048-nucleotide long non-coding RNA is filed under the name Homo sapiens (human). RNAcentral's name for it is "HSALNT0012225". The record is from RNAcentral. Lineage: Eukaryota; Metazoa; Chordata; Mammalia; Primates; Hominidae.
GGCCCCCCAAACAAAGGACCCGCCGGGUCCUAGUGCCCGCCCGCUCCGUCACCUUCGCGCCUCCGGGUCCUAGCGCCUGCUCACCGCUCGCAGCCCACCCUGCCAACCUCUGCCUCUGCCAGUCGCUAAUACCUGCCCCCAUAUAGGCUUGCCUUUAUCUUUCUCCUUGCCUGCUGCCCCUCAGCUCGCGACCCUCCUGCACCUGCCUCCAGCUUUCCCUGUCCGCAACAGUCCUCCACGUGUUUCCCACGCACCCCACUUCUGUGCCCCCUUCCUCACCCCCCUUGUUCCUUCGCCUUUUGCCCCACACCUCCUGCUCCUUUUCGGCAUUUGCCUGCAGCUGCAGUGCUUUUAGACCCCCGCCCUCUCCGCGUUAGUUCGUCCGUCCAUCCAUCUAUCCUCCCUCCCUCCAUCCUUCGGUCCAUCCAUCCAUGCCUCCAACCCACUGUCCUUUCCCAGGCCUCUUGCCCUGCCUCUUGGCUCUCUGCUCUUACUCUCACCUUCUCUAGGCCCCUGAGUGCCUUAGUGAGCGGGCCUACAGCCCCUUCUUCUGAUCUUUGUCUUCUGGGCCCCAGGGAGCACCUGGCCUCGUGGCCUUUCGGGGUGACAGCAGGCAUCACGCCCCUGAAGAAGUUUGCAAGUGAGAAGAGGUGGAGGAGGAGACUGCACGGAGGGGUCUCUAAUGACACUUGUUCUCCUCUGAGACAUCCGACUCCCAGUUUCGUUCUAUCCAUCAUUCCCCGCACUUGCAUUUAACGGACUUAGAGUGGGAGCUGCCCCUUGUCUCUUGCGUGCCUAACCCACGACCCCUCAUAAUCUGGAUAUUAUAUAAGAUUGUCAACAAUCUUCUCAUCCUAGAAAGGAGCAUAUCUGUUAAUGGGCAUCAGAGAGCAGACCUAAGUGGGAGCCCAGGCCACCCUGGGGCUGCCCCAUGCUGGGUGGGCAAAGAUGGGGCCAUUGUCAGGGUCUGGGUGCAUUGAGAACCGGAAAUGGAGUCAGACGGGUUUGGUGACUCAGAAUUGAUUUUUUUUUUCCCAAGGGACAGGGA